Molecule: ribosomal RNA, 467 nt
Filed under: uncultured bacterium
Lineage: Bacteria
Description: partial 16S ribosomal RNA
Rfam family: Bacterial small subunit ribosomal RNA
Source: RNAcentral
GACGAACGCUGGCGGCGUGCUUAACACAUGCAAGUCGAACGGAAAGGCCCUGCUUUUGUGGGGUGCUCGAGUGGCGAACGGGUGAGUAACACGUGAGUAACCUGCCCUUGACUUUGGGAUAACUUCAGGAAACUGGGGCUAAUACCGGAUAGGAGCUCCUGCUGCAUGGUGGGGGUUGGAAAGUUUCGGCGGUUGGGGAUGGACUCGCGGCUUAUCAGCUUGUUGGUGGGGUAGUGGCUUACCAAGGCUUUGACGGGUAGCCGGCCUGAGAGGGUGACCGGCCACAUUGGGACUGAGAUACGGCCCAGAUUCCUACGGGAGGCAGCAGUGGGGAAUAUUGCACAAUGGGCGGAGGCCGGAUGCAGCAACGCGGCGUGCGGGAUGACGGCCUCGGGUUGUAAACCGCUUUCGCCUGUGACGAAGCGUGAGUGACGGUAAUGGGUAAAGAAGCACCGGCUAACUACGUG